Molecule: ribosomal RNA, 253 nt
Filed under: uncultured bacterium
Lineage: Bacteria
Description: partial 16S ribosomal RNA
Rfam family: Bacterial small subunit ribosomal RNA
Source: RNAcentral
UACGUAGGGGGCAAGCGUUGUCCGGAUUUAUUGGGCAUAAAGAGCGUGUAGGCGGUCAGGUAGGUCCGUUGUGAAAACUCGAGGCUCAACCUCGAGACGCCGAUGGAAACCAUCUGACUAGAGUCCGGAAGAGGAGAGUGGAAUUCCUGGUGUAGCGGUGAAAUGCGCAGAUAUCAGGAAGAACACCCGUGGCUAAGGCGGCUCUCUAGUACGGUACUGACGCUGAGACGCGAAAGCGUGGGGAGCGAACAGG